Molecule: ribosomal RNA, 443 nt
Filed under: uncultured bacterium
Lineage: Bacteria
Description: partial 16S ribosomal RNA
Rfam family: Bacterial small subunit ribosomal RNA
Source: RNAcentral
CCUACGGGGUGCAGCAGUGGGGAAUAUUGGGCAAUGGGGGGAACCCUGAUGCAGCGACGCCGCGUGAGUGAAGAAGUAUUUCGGUAUGUAAAGCUCUAUCAGCAGGGAAGAAAGAAAUGACGAUACCUGACUAAGAAGCCCCGGCUAACUACGUGCCAGCAGCCGCGGUAAUACGUAGGGGGCAAGCGUUAUCCUGAUUUACUGGGCGUAAAGCGCUCGUAGGCGGUAUGUCAAGUCAAGGGUGAAAUCCCCGCGCUCAACGUGGGAACUGCUUUGGAAACUGGCAAACUGGAGUGUGUGAGAGGAUAGUGGAAUUCCAGGUGUAGGAGUGAAAUCCGUAGAUAUAUGGAGGAACAUCAGUGGCGAAGGCGACUAUCUGGCACAUAACUGACGCUGAGGAGCGAAAGCGUGGGUAGCAAACAGGAAUAGAUACCCUAGUAGUC